This 301-nucleotide ribosomal RNA is filed under the name uncultured bacterium. Its description in RNAcentral is "partial 16S ribosomal RNA". It matches the Rfam family "Bacterial small subunit ribosomal RNA", at positions 509 to 807 of the family's 1533-position model. The record is from RNAcentral.
CAGUCGCCACGGGAAUACAGAGGGUGCGAGCGUUAAUCGGAUUUACUGGGCGUAAAGCGUGCGUAGGCGGCUUCUUAAGUCGGAUGUGAAAUCCCUGAGCUUAACUUAGGAAUUGCAUUUGAUACUGGGAAGCUAGAGUAUGGGAGAGGAUGGUAGAAUUCCAGGUGUAGCGGUGAAAUGCGUAGAGAUCUGGAGGAAUACCGAUGGCGAAGGCAGCCAUCUGGCCUAAUACUGACGCUGAGGUACGAAAGCAUGGGGAGCAAACAGGAUUAGAUACCCGGGUAGUCCCUGUCUCUUAUAC